RNAcentral lists this ribosomal RNA (465 nucleotides) under Vreelandella stevensii. RNAcentral's name for it is "partial 16S ribosomal RNA". It matches the Rfam family "Bacterial small subunit ribosomal RNA", at positions 338 to 795 of the family's 1533-position model. Lineage: Bacteria; Pseudomonadati; Pseudomonadota; Gammaproteobacteria; Oceanospirillales; Halomonadaceae. The record is from RNAcentral.
CCUACGGGUGGCUGCAGUGGGGAAUAUUGGACAAUGGGCGAAAGCCUGAUCCAGCCAUGCCGCGUGUGUGAAGAAGGCCUUCGGGUUGUAAAGCACUUUCAGUGGGGAAGAAAGCCUUGGGGCUAAUACCCUCGAGGAAGGACAUCACCCACAGAAGAAGCACCGGCUAACUCCGUACCAGCAGCCGCGGUAAUACGGAGGGUGCGAGCGUUAAUCGGAAUUACUGGGCGUAAAGCGCGCGUAGGCGGUCUGAUAAGCCGGUUGUGAAAGCCCCGGGCUCAACCUGGGAACGGCAUCCGGAACUGUCAGGCUAGAGUGCAGGAGAGGAAGGUAGAAUUCCCGGUGUAGCGGUGAAAUGCGUAGAGAUCGGGAGGAAUACCAGUGGCGAAGGCGGCCUUCUGGACUGACACUGACGCUGAGGUGCGAAAGCGUGGGUAGCAAACAGGAUUAGAUACCCCAGUAGUC